GGGUUGUGAGGUUAAGCGACUAAGCGUACACGGUGGAUGCCCUGGCAGUCAGAGGCGAUGAAGGACGUGCUAAUCUGCGAUAAGCGUCGGUAAGGUGAUAUGAACCGUUAUAACCGGCGAUUUCCGAAUGGGGAAACCCAGUGUGAUUUGUCACACUAUCAUUAACUGAAUCCAUAGGUUAAUGAGGCGAACCGGGGGAACUGAAACAUCUAAGUACCCCGAGGAAAAGAAAUCAACCGAGAUUCCCCCAGUAGCGGCGAGCGAACGGGGAGGAGCCCAGAGCCUGAAUCAGUGUGUGUGUUAGUGGAAGCGUCUGGAAAGGCGCGCGAUACAGGGUGACAGCCCCGUACACAAAAAUGCACAUGCUGUGAGCUCGAUGAGUAGGGCGGGACACGUGGUAUCCUGUCUGAAUAUGGGGGGACCAUCCUCCAAGGCUAAAUACUCCUGACUGACCGAUAGUGAACCAGUACCGUGAGGGAAAGGCGAAAAGAACCCCGGCGAGGGGAGUGAAAAAGAACCUGAAACCGUGUACGUACAAGCAGUGGGAGCACGCUUAGGCGUGUGACUGCGUACCUUUUGUAUAAUGGGUCAGCGACUUAUAUUCUGUAGCAAGGUUAACCGAAUAGGGGAGCCGAAGGGAAACCGAGUCUUAACUGGGCGUUAAGUUGCAGGGUAUAGACCCGAAACCCGGUGAUCUAGCCAUGGGCAGGUUGAAGGUUGGGUAACACUAACUGGAGGACCGAACCGACUAAUGUUGAAAAAUUAGCGGAUGACUUGUGGCUGGGGGUGAAAGGCCAAUCAAACCGGGAGAUAGCUGGUUCUCCCCGAAAGCUAUUUAGGUAGCGCCUCGUGAAUUCAUCUCCGGGGGUAGAGCACUGUUUCGGCAAGGGGGUCAUCCCGACUUACCAACCCGAUGCAAACUGCGAAUACCGGAGAAUGUUAUCACGGGAGACACACGGCGGGUGCUAACGUCCGUCGUGAAGAGGGAAACAACCCAGACCGCCAGCUAAGGUCCCAAAGUCAUGGUUAAGUGGGAAACGAUGUGGGAAGGCCCAGACAGCCAGGAUGUUGGCUUAGAAGCAGCCAUCAUUUAAAGAAAGCGUAAUAGCUCACUGGUCGAGUCGGCCUGCGCGGAAGAUGUAACGGGGCUAAACCAUGCACCGAAGCUGCGGCAGCGACACUAUGUGUUGUUGGGUAGGGGAGCGUUCUGUAAGCCUGUGAAGGUGGCCUGUGAGGGUUGCUGGAGGUAUCAGAAGUGCGAAUGCUGACAUAAGUAACGAUAAAGCGGGUGAAAAGCCCGCUCGCCGGAAGACCAAGGGUUCCUGUCCAACGUUAAUCGGGGCAGGGUGAGUCGACCCCUAAGGCGAGGCCGAAAGGCGUAGUCGAUGGGAAACAGGUUAAUAUUCCUGUACUUGGUGUUACUGCGAAGGGGGGACGGAGAAGGCUAUGUUGGCCGGGCGACGGUUGUCCCGGUUUAAGCGUGUAGGCUGGUUUUCCAGGCAAAUCCGGAAAACUAAGGCUGAGGCGUGAUGACGAGGUACUACGGUGCUGAAGCAACAAAUGCCCUGCUUCCAGGAAAAGCCUCUAAGCAUCAGGUAACAUCAAAUCGUACCCCAAACCGACACAGGUGGUCAGGUAGAGAAUACCAAGGCGCUUGAGAGAACUCGGGUGAAGGAACUAGGCAAAAUGGUGCCGUAACUUCGGGAGAAGGCACGCUGAUAUGUAGGUGAAGCGACUUGCUCGUGGAGCUGAAAUCAGUCGAAGAUACCAGCUGGCUGCAACUGUUUAUUAAAAACACAGCACUGUGCAAACACGAAAGUGGACGUAUACGGUGUGACGCCUGCCCGGUGCCGGAAGGUUAAUUGAUGGGGUUAGCGGUAACGCGAAGCUCUUGAUCGAAGCCCCGGUAAACGGCGGCCGUAACUAUAACGGUCCUAAGGUAGCGAAAUUCCUUGUCGGGUAAGUUCCGACCUGCACGAAUGGCGUAAUGAUGGCCAGGCUGUCUCCACCCGAGACUCAGUGAAAUUGAACUCGCUGUGAAGAUGCAGUGUACCCGCGGCAAGACGGAAAGACCCCGUGAACCUUUACUAUAGCUUGACACUGAACAUUGAGCCUUGAUGUGUAGGAUAGGUGGGAGGCUUUGAAGUGUGGACGCCAGUCUGCAUGGAGCCGACCUUGAAAUACCACCCUUUAAUGUUUGAUGUUCUAACGUUGACCCGUGAUCCGGGUUGCGGACAGUGUCUGGUGGGUAGUUUGACUGGGGCGGUCUCCUCCUAAAGAGUAACGGAGGAGCACGAAGGUUGGCUAAUCCUGGUCGGACAUCAGGAGGUUAGUGCAAUGGCAUAAGCCAGCUUGACUGCGAGCGUGACGGCGCGAGCAGGUGCGAAAGCAGGUCAUAGUGAUCCGGUGGUUCUGAAUGGAAGGGCCAUCGCUCAACGGAUAAAAGGUACUCCGGGGAUAACAGGCUGAUACCGCCCAAGAGUUCAUAUCGACGGCGGUGUUUGGCACCUCGAUGUCGGCUCAUCACAUCCUGGGGCUGAAGUAGGUCCCAAGGGUAUGGCUGUUCGCCAUUUAAAGUGGUACGCGAGCUGGGUUUAGAACGUCGUGAGACAGUUCGGUCCCUAUCUGCCGUGGGCGCUGGAGAACUGAGGGGGGCUGCUCCUAGUACGAGAGGACCGGAGUGGACGCAUCACUGGUGUUCGGGUUGUCAUGCCAAUGGCACUGCCCGGUAGCUAAAUGCGGAAGAGAUAAGUGCUGAAAGCAUCUAAGCACGAAACUUGCCCCGAGAUGAGUUCUCCCUGACUCCCUGAGAGUCCUGAAGGAACGUUGAAGACGACGACGUUGAUAGGCCGGGUGUGUAAGCGCAGCGAUGCGUUGAGCUAACCGGUACUAAUGAACCGUGAGGCUUAACCUUACAACGCCGAAG
This 2926-nucleotide ribosomal RNA is filed under the name Escherichia coli. RNAcentral describes it as "bacterial LSU rRNA". It matches the Rfam family "Bacterial large subunit ribosomal RNA". Lineage: Bacteria; Pseudomonadati; Pseudomonadota; Gammaproteobacteria; Enterobacterales; Enterobacteriaceae. The record is from RNAcentral.